This is a non-coding RNA of Echinostoma caproni, 47 nucleotides long. The record is from Rfam. Lineage: Eukaryota; Metazoa; Platyhelminthes; Trematoda; Plagiorchiida; Echinostomatidae.
ACACUGCUGAUGAGACCCAACCAGGUCGAAACAGCUCUGUCCAGUGC